ACUCCUACGGGAGGCAGCAGUGGGGAAUAUUGGACAAUGGGCGGAAGCCUGAUCCAGCAACGCCGCGUGAGGGAUGACGGCCUUCGGGUUGUAAACCUCUUUCAGCACAGACGAAGCGAAAGUGACGGUAUGUGCAGAAGAAGCACCGGCCAACUACGUGCCAGCAGCUGCGGUAAUACGUAGGGUGCGAGCGUUGUCCGGAAUUAUUGGGCGUAAAGGGCUCGUAGGCGGUUUGUCGCGUCGGGAGUGAAAACCAGAGGCUUAACUUCUGGCUGGCUUUCGAUACGGGCAGACUAGAGGUAUGCAGGGGAGAACGGAAUUCCUGGUGUAGCGGUGAAAUGCGCAGAUAUCAGGAGGAACACCGGUGGCGAAGGCGGUUCUCUGGGCAUUACCUGACGCUGAGGAGCGAAAGUGUGGGGAGCGAACAGGAUUAGAUACCCUGGUAGUCCACACCGUAAACGUUGGGCGCUAGGUGUGGGGCCUAUUCCAUGGGUUCCGUGCCGCAGCUAACGCAUUAAGCGCCCCGCCUGGGGAGUACGGCCGCAAGGCUAAAACUCAAAGGAAUUGACGGGGGCCCGCACAAGCGGCGGAGCAUGCGGAUUAAUUCGAUGCAACGCGAAGAACCUUACCUGGGUUUGACAUACACCGGAAAGCCUCAGAGAUGGGGCCCCUUUUGUCGGUGUACAGGUGGUGCAUGGCUGUCGUCAGCUCGUGUCGUGA
Molecule: ribosomal RNA, 720 nt
Filed under: uncultured bacterium
Lineage: Bacteria
Description: bacterial SSU rRNA
Rfam family: Bacterial small subunit ribosomal RNA
Source: RNAcentral